UCACCCCUCAAGCCCUGGCUUGGUGUUGGACUUUAGUUAUGGCUUUGCCUAUCAACUGGUCUCAAAGAUAGUGACGGCGCCCCAGAGGGAACCGGGUACGAGGAGCUUUUUAUCAAGCAUGUAUCUGGGACGACUUUGAUGGGCGACGGUCUUAUUAUACUUUAACUAAG
RNAcentral lists this unclassified non-coding RNA (170 nucleotides) under uncultured Chaetothyriales. Its description in RNAcentral is "sequence contains ITS2". Lineage: Eukaryota; Fungi; Ascomycota; Eurotiomycetes; Chaetothyriales. The record is from RNAcentral.